This 253-nucleotide ribosomal RNA is filed under the name uncultured bacterium. Its description in RNAcentral is "partial 16S ribosomal RNA". It matches the Rfam family "Bacterial small subunit ribosomal RNA", at positions 524 to 776 of the family's 1533-position model. The record is from RNAcentral.
GAAGGGGGAUGCAAGAGUUAUCCGGAAUCACUGGGCGUAAAGCGUCUGUAGGUGGUGAUGCAAGUCACUGGUGCAAAACUCUGGCUCAACCGGAGGAAAGCCAGUGAAACUGCAUGACUAGAGUGUGGGAGAGGUAGAAGGAAUUCCAUGAGUAGCGGUGAAAUGCGUAGAUACAGGGAAGAACACCGGAGGCGAAAGCGUUCUACUGGAACACAACUGACACUGAGAGAAGAAAGCUAGGGGAGCGAAUGGG